AUUGAACGCUGGCGGCAGGCCUAACACAUGCAAGUCGAACGGUAACAGGAAACAGCUUGCUGUUUCGCUGACGAGUGGCGGACGGGUGAGUAAUGUCUGGGAAACUGCCUGAUGGAGGGGGAUAACUACUGGAAACGGUAGCUAAUACCGCAUAACGUCUUCGGACCAAAGUGGGGGACCUUCGGGCCUCACACCAUCGGAUGUGCCCAGAUGGGAUUAGCUAGUAGGUGGGGUAAUGGCUCACCUAGGCGACGAUCCCUAGCUGGUCUGAGAGGAUGACCAGCCACACUGGAACUGAGACACGGUCCAGACUCCUACGGGAGGCAGCAGUGGGGAAUAUUGCACAAUGGGCGCAAGCCUGAUGCAGCCAUGCCGCGUGUAUGAAGAAGGCCUUCGGGUUGUAAAGUACUUUCAGCGGGGAGGAAGGCAGUAAAGUUAAUAACUUCGCUGAUUGACGUUACCCGCAGAAGAAGCACCGGCUAACUCCGUGCCAGCAGCCGCAGUAA
This 506-nucleotide ribosomal RNA is filed under the name uncultured bacterium. RNAcentral describes it as "bacterial SSU rRNA". It matches the Rfam family "Bacterial small subunit ribosomal RNA", at positions 30 to 523 of the family's 1533-position model. The record is from RNAcentral.